Molecule: long non-coding RNA, 4112 nt
Organism: Mirounga angustirostris (Northern elephant seal)
Lineage: Eukaryota; Metazoa; Chordata; Mammalia; Carnivora; Phocidae
Exons: 4
Source: RefSeq, a predicted model, not a curated record
UCCCGGCUUCAGGCUGGCCCUGGCCGAUGGCUGGUUUGGGGGCUUUUCUGUGCUCUGAGCACAUCUAAACAUUUGGAGCAAAACAAGAAAGUGAACAAUAGACGUUUGUGGGUUAGAGGACAGGGCCGACUUCCCCCUGGGACUCAGCACUGUUCAUAAAGCGCCCCAGCUGCACUCUCACGCUGGGGAUGUCACUGGGGCCUCCUUGAAUCACAGCCUUGUCCUCGCUGGGGGCCGGCGACUGGCUCCUUUUAUAUCUCGUUGGGGGAUGCAAAUGCCGGUGGGGCAGCCGGCUGCUCAGGGGGAAGGCAUGUUUUCCUGCCUGAAUUUUGGGAAAUCACACAGAAAAGACGCAUCCGAGCCUGACAUUGUAGCUCUGCCAAGUCCUCCCCUGACAGACGUGUUCUGAUCAGAGCUGUUUGUCCCACAGGAAAAGAAUCAGCUUUCUAUCAAGUGGACUCUGGGCACCGCCCCAGAGAGCUCAAGCUCCCAAGGACCUGGAGACUGACCCAGUCAUGCCAGCUGAGGCCCAGUCAGGCUAAAUCCCCCGAUCCAGCGCUCCUGCGUCUACCCCUAGGACCCCCAGACAACUGAGAGGGGCUAACAUGGAGUGUCCCCGCCUGGAUGGCAUCUCUGGAAAAGGCUGGAGUGUUUCUAAAGAGGCUGUUCAGACAUCACAUCACAGUCCCAGACGGCCGAGAGGUUCUUGCACUCACUUGGCUGCCCUCCCUGGGAAAUGCUUUGGAUCAGACAGCACUUCUGGGUUGUUUUUGCCUGAGGAAAGUGGUAAGAAUUCAGCAAGAAUCCCAUGGUUGAAGGAAAAGUCAGUGGAUUUACUUAGCAAAAGUAUUUGCAGAGAACCGUCCAGGAGGUGAGCAGGGUGGCGCUGCAGGCCCGGGACUAAAGACACUGGUGUGGGCAAGAAGCCUCCAGAUGAGAGCACCUUGGGAGCAGACCAAGAAGAAUCUAGAGACAAAUGGCUUGGCUUCUAGAGAAUAAAGAAAGGGGCUUUUUUAGUGCCUAAGAAGUUCAAAAUGGCCUUGCUAGGUCACGCCCGCAAGCUCUGAUAGACAGUCUCGUGCUACAGAGUUCUUCUGGAGGGUCUCCCGCGCCCCGUGUCCCUUGGUCAUUUAGCAGACGCUUCCUGAGGGCCGCCAAGCUCCUUCAGGCAAGCCAGUUGUGGUUCCACGGUGUGGAGGGUGGGCAGAGAGUGUUCGGUGGCAGGGCAGAAGCGUGAGCCUGGGUUCACAGACGCCAGAGCCGAGUCCUCAGGAAGGAGCCAGGAGUUGGCCGGGCAGUCGGAGAGGAAGGACAGCUAAUCCAGGCAGAGCCCAGAGGGAAAGCAUGCCCCCUCCCCACCCCUAGAGACAGCUGGGACAAUGGCUUAUGAGGGGAGCGGGUGCCCAAAGCAGAGUAAGGCCAGCCCUGCAUUCUUUGCUUCGACUCUCACGGUUUUCUGUCAGCCAGGCGCGGGCGGGCUGUGAAAACUUCCUGGCACAAGGGCCUCUGUUGAGUUAAGUUCCAUCCCUUUUGGCACACUGAUUAAAGGCCUCAUCCCUGGCUUUGGUGCGGGGUGACCCCCACAAAGACUGUGCCUAUAGGACACACUCUCCUUUCAUACCUAAAGCUUUCCUGAAAAUUUGCCGGUCUGACAUGCAAGAGGCAAAGCGAGCAUUUGAAAGCUAUAAGGGAGGGUUCCGUUCCCAGGGGGCCGAACAAUAUUAUCACUGUAUUUUCUUGAUUUCCAGUCUCGCAGCAUCACCCUCACCCUUGCUCUGAAACACUGUCAUUAAAUCAAUGCAGCUUUAGAACUGGGGGAACAUGGGAAAUUCCCAAUCACACCUCACCUUUCGAUCCAAUCUUUGACCAUGUUAGGUACGGAAUGUCCUAUAUGCUCUCUAAUUUAUUAUUCUCCUUCACAAUUGAACACACAGGCGACUGGCUGAAAUCCAGGGAACAUUUGAUGGAGGCCACGUAUUCUUGUGGCGCGCCUAAUGAUUUCCAUCUCUGUCUCAAUUAUAUCAAGUUUAGGAGACCUGCCUUUCUUAUCACCAGCAUCAGCGCUUCAUUUUUCCAUUUUCCACUUGUUCUUAUAAAAUAACAAGGUCAAAAUGCAGUAACAUAUUCAAAUACUCGCACAAACACUGCUGAACCGUCAAAAGGUGAUGCUGCUGAAACCAAACCCUUGGCCUCCAGGCAGCAUUCCCACGUGAUGGCUUGAAAUGUGAGUUCAUCUGCCAACGUGGGAGAGCUUCAAAUCAGUGGUUGGCUGGUGCAAGGGGUUGGGGUGCUGUAUAUAGGUCAGUGUAGAAUGUAUGAAAAAGAAGGGUGGGCCAGAGUGAAAGGUACAAGCGGACGGUCGUCUACAGUGAUCCCAUCCUCUGGCGCUCAGUGGGUAUAAAUCCUGCUACCUCCUGCCCAGACGUACAGGCACCGCCACCCAAUGGGACUGUUGCUGAUGGCUCUUCUCCAAGCAGAUUGUAUUGUAUCACAGACAUGCUCCGGUACACCUUCCAACAUCUCUGAGUCUGCAGAGCUGUGUGAAUACCAAGAACCUUUCCUCAAAGCGCCUGGCUCUUGAAUCAGAAUCCUUUAUGUGGGAAGGAUUUGUGAGGAAGUGCUUCAUGACCAGGUGGUCACAAGAAAGCGGAGAUUUCCAUGUGAGGUCAUCUUGGCAAGAAGCUCCCUCACCAUCCUUGACUUCCGGGUCUCCAGGGCAACCACUGCUGGGGUGUCAUAGGCACCAGAGCGUGUCCCUUGAAGUCCACGCUGGGCAGAUAAGCAAUUUUUUGGCAACUGUCAUGUAACAAAUUCAUUCUCAAAUGAGGAUGAUGUAUAUGGUUUUUUUCCCACUCUCUUCCACAUUCUGGCCCAGAAUUCUGGGCAUAGGACAUAGUCUAAGAAUGUACCUUGGGAUGCGAGUUAAGAGAAUAAUGUGAGGAAGGACUUGGAGAAAGAAGUACUUCUAAUCUGAAACUAAUGAUGUACUAUAUGUUGGCUAAUUGAAUUUAAAUUUUUAAAAAAGUACAAAAAAAAGUACCUUCUUCUGGACAGAGGGACAAAGUAGUUUUCCUUUUGGCUUCCCCAGUCCAUAGCUUAUUUCCUCUCCCUCUCCACGCUCAAUAAAGGAAGUUGUGGUAGACAGUCUCCAAAUUGGUAGCCCCCAGUCUUUCCCUCCUGAUGUUUAUGUGCUGCUUCUCACCUCUCCAAACUGGAAUAGCCAUAGUGACUGGCUUGACCAACAGAGUACAGUAGGUUACAUUCUGGAACUUCCAAGGUUUGGUUAUCAGAAGCUUUGUGAUAUCUGUCUGGGUCUUUUAGAAGCUUUAGUCCUGGGACACUUGCUCUAAAAACCAGCUACCAUCCAGUAAGAAGUCCAAGCCACACAAAGAGGCUGGAAAUAGGUGCUCUCGUCAAGAACCCCAGCUGAGCUCUCCACCAAGAUUCACAUCCCUGCCACCUUGUGAAUGAAUGGCAUCCACUUGGCUGUGCAGCUCAGUAGAACUUUGCGGGCACUCCAGCCCUAGCGACCGGGUGACUGUAACUGCAAGAGAUCCUGAGUGAGAACCAGCUAGCUGAGCCCGGUCAGCACAGGUAUAAGAGAGAAUAGUGAGUUGUUUUAAGGUACUACGUUUUAGGGCGUUCUGUUAUGUAGCAAUAAGUAAUUGAACAGGAAUGCAAUGCUGGGUGGGGAGUGAAAGGAGAGGAGAGGAACUUCUGACAACGUAGUCACUUUGAGGGGCUCUAUUUCUCUUUCUCUCCCCCUCGGUACCCCCAACACCAGCUGUUCUUUCUGAGCUGUGCCCGGCCCACAGCCCACAAACCUUAUGCUGCUGCUGAUUGUUGCGUGGGUACUCAGCUCCUCCGUGGGAUGGGGGACACCCUGAGGGUAGGGCCCUGUCUUAUUUGAUUCUUAUCCUCCCUGGUACUGACAGAUUCAUCAGGCUGCUCUAGUGGAUACACAUGGAGAAUAACUGCUGGAACAGGAUUUCAAGGUGCUUAAGUGACUUGGCUUCUGAUCUUUGACAUUUAAUACCUGAUAUCUUAUGUCCCUGCUGCCUGGGCCCACCUAGGGGCUAGCCACACCGUGGGGCAGUCUGAACCCCACCAAC